RNAcentral lists this ribosomal RNA (499 nucleotides) under uncultured bacterium. Its description in RNAcentral is "partial 16S ribosomal RNA". It matches the Rfam family "Bacterial small subunit ribosomal RNA", at positions 28 to 507 of the family's 1533-position model. The record is from RNAcentral.
GACGAACGCUGGCGGCGUGCCUAAUACAUGCAAGUCGAGCGAAGUUUUUCUGGUGCUUGCACUAGAAAAACUUAGCGGCGAACGGGUGAGUAACACGUAAAGAACCUGCCUCAUAGACUGGGACAACUAUUGGAAACGAUAGCUAAUACCGGAUAACAGUAUUUCUCGCAUGAGAGAUAUUUAAAAGUUGGUUAUGCUAACACUAUGAGAUGGCUUUGCGGUGCAUUAGCUAGUUGGUGGGGUAAAGGCCCACCAAGGCGACGAUGCAUAGCCGACCUGAGAGGGUGAUCGGCCACACGGGGACUGAGACACGGCCCAGACUCCGACGGGAGGCAGCAGUAGGGAAUCUUCCGCAAUGGGCGAAAGCCUGACGGAGCAACGCCGCGUGAGUGAAGAAGGAUUUCGGGUCGUAAAGCUCUGUUGUGAGGGAAGAAUGGAUAUGUAGUAACUAUACAUGUAAGAGACGGUACCUAAACAGAAAGCCACGGCUAACUACGUG